GAAGGGGGCUAGCGUUGUUCGGAAUUACUGGGCGUAAAGCGCGCGCAGGCGGUUCUUCAAGUCAGAGGUGAAAGCCCAGGGCUCAACCCUGGAAUGGCCUUUGAGACUAGAGAACUUGGGUACGGGAGAGGUGAGUGGAAUUCCGAGUGUAGGGGUGAAAUUCGUAGAUAUUCGGAAGAACACCAGUGGCGAAGGCGGCUCACUGGCCCGUUACCGACGCUCAGGCGCGACAGCGUGGGGAGCAAACAGGAUUAGAUACCCUGGUAGUCCACGCCGUAAACGAUGGAUGCUAGCCGUUGGUAAGCAUGCUUAUCAGUGGCGCAGCUAACGCAUUAAGCAUCCCGCCUGGGGAGUACGGCCGCAAGGUUG
RNAcentral lists this ribosomal RNA (369 nucleotides) under uncultured bacterium. Its description in RNAcentral is "bacterial SSU rRNA". It matches the Rfam family "Bacterial small subunit ribosomal RNA", at positions 527 to 896 of the family's 1533-position model. The record is from RNAcentral.